This 325-nucleotide unclassified non-coding RNA is filed under the name soil metagenome. RNAcentral's name for it is "partial contains 5.8S ribosomal RNA, internal transcribed spacer 2, and large subunit ribosomal RNA". The stretch from base 1 to 120 matches the Rfam family "5.8S ribosomal RNA", at positions 35 to 154 of the family's 154-position model. The record is from RNAcentral.
GAUGAAGAACGCAGCGAAAUGCGAUAAGUAAUGUGAAUUGCAGAAUUCAGUGAAUCAUCGAAUCUUUGAACGCACAUUGCGCCCCUUGGUAUUCCGAGGGGCAUGCCUGUUCGAGCGUCAUUAUAACCCCUCAAGCUCAGCUUGGUGUUGGGGCCUGCCGCACGGGCAGCCCUUAAAAUCAGUGGCGGUGCCAUCUGGCUCUAAGCGUAGUAAUUCUUCUCGCUAUAGAGUCCCGGUGGAUGCUUGCCAUUAACCCCCAAUUUUCUAUGGUUGACCUCGGAUCAGGUAGGGAUACCCGCUGAACUUAAGCAUAUCAAUAAGCGGA